Molecule: long non-coding RNA, 587 nt
Organism: Adelges cooleyi (spruce gall adelgid)
Lineage: Eukaryota; Metazoa; Arthropoda; Insecta; Hemiptera; Adelgidae
Exons: 3
Source: RefSeq, a predicted model, not a curated record
UAGCAUGCUUAUUGUAGUUAUGUCAUAACUCGUUAUUUUAUAAUUUUUUAAAUAUAUCAAUUGAUAAUAUUUGCUCUCGACUUUAUUUUGACGUUACAUUCUUGGACACACCAUUAAUUUAAUAGGUUGAAUGCUUUUUUCCGAAAAUCUUUUAUCAUUUAAAAAUCAAUGUUAUCAUGUCAGAAAUAUCUAUGGCGUUGAGAAUAGGCUAUACCAAUUACUAUGGAAAUGUCUUUUCAAUUGGAACCAAGACUGAAGACCUUACAAUUUUAUAUCAAGGUGUAAAUUAUAAAUAUAAAGCAUUAAUUUAAUAGGUUGAAUGCUUUUUUACUGAAAAUAUUUCAUCUUUUAAAAACCAAUGUUAUCAUGUAAAAUUGGUUUUGAGUAUGACAUAUCAAUUGCUAUGGAAAUGUCUUUCCAAUCGGACCCAAGACCUUACAAUUAUAUAUCAAGGUGUAAAUUAUAAGUAUAAAACAUUUAUUUCUAAUGUGACAUUUUUUCAUGUGAAUGUAUAAUAUCAACACUAAGCAAUUUGAAUGAAAAGUGUGUUGUGUUAACUUAAAAUAAUUAUUAAUGCAUGUAUUUGU